ACUGCUCAGUAACACGUGGCUAAUCUGCCCUUAGGACGAGAACAACCCCGGGAAACUGGGGCUAACUCUUGAUAGGUGAAGAACUCUGGAAUGAGUCUUUGCCUAAAAAGAUUCACGUUAUCCUCGUGAAUUUGCCUAAGGAUGAGGCCGCGACCGAUCAGGUUGUUGGCGAGGUAAUGGCUCACCAAGCCUUUUACCGGUGCGGGCCGUGGGAGCGGGAGCCCGGAGAUGGGUACUGAGACAAGGACCCAGGCCCUACGGGGCGCAGCAGUCGCGAAACCUUUGCAAUAAGCGAAAGCUUGACAGGGUUAUCCCGAGUGCCAUCCGCUGAGGAAGGCUUUUACCCAGUCUAGAACGCUGGGGGAAUAAGGAGAGGGCAAGUCUGGUAUCAGCCGCCGCGGUAAUACCAGCUCUCCGAGUGGUGUGGAUGUUUAUUGGGCCUAAAGCAUCCGUAGCUGGCUAGGUAAGUCCCUUGUUAAAUCCACCGAAUUAAUCGUUGGAUCGCGGGGGAUACUGCUUGGCUAGGGGACGAGAGAGGCAGACGGUA
RNAcentral lists this ribosomal RNA (547 nucleotides) under uncultured archaeon. Its description in RNAcentral is "bacterial SSU rRNA". It matches the Rfam family "Archaeal small subunit ribosomal RNA", at positions 85 to 617 of the family's 1478-position model. The record is from RNAcentral.